RNAcentral lists this ribosomal RNA (205 nucleotides) under uncultured bacterium. RNAcentral's name for it is "partial 16S ribosomal RNA". It matches the Rfam family "Bacterial small subunit ribosomal RNA", at positions 328 to 538 of the family's 1533-position model. The record is from RNAcentral.
ACGCUCGACACCUACGGGAGGCAGCAGUGGGGGAUAUUGCACAAUGGGGGAAACCCUGAUGCAGCAACGCCGCGUGAAGGAAGAAGGUCUUCGGAUUGUAAACUUCUGUCCUCAGGGAAGAUAAUGACGGUACCUGAGGAGGAAGCUCCGGCUAACUACGCGCCAGCACGCCGGCGGUAAUCNGAGGCCGGGUCUGGACGAAGGC